This is a small nucleolar RNA of Uranotaenia lowii, 108 nucleotides long. RefSeq annotates it as small nucleolar RNA SNORD90. The record is from RefSeq and is a predicted model, not a curated record. The transcript has a single exon. NCBI's taxonomy places the organism in Eukaryota, Metazoa, Arthropoda, Insecta, Diptera, Culicidae.
AAUUCAGAUUUCAGAUUCAGAAUUCAGAUUCAGAAUUCAGAUUCAGAAUUCAGAAUUCAUCUGAAUUCUGAAUCUGAAUUCUGAAUCUGAAUUCUGAAUCUGAAUUCU